Molecule: ribosomal RNA, 728 nt
Filed under: Vreelandella aquamarina
Lineage: Bacteria; Pseudomonadati; Pseudomonadota; Gammaproteobacteria; Oceanospirillales; Halomonadaceae
Description: bacterial SSU rRNA
Rfam family: Bacterial small subunit ribosomal RNA
Source: RNAcentral
ACGGGUGAGUAAUGCAUAGGAAUCUGCCCGAUAGUGGGGGAUAACCUGGGGAAACCCAGGCUAAUACCGCAUACGUCCUACGGGAGAAAGGGGGCUCCGGCUCCCGCUAUGGGAUGAGCCUAUGUCGGAUUAGCUAGUUGGUGAGGUAACGGCUCACCAAGGCCACGAUCCGUAGCUGGUCUGAGAGGAUGAUCAGCCACAUCGGGACUGAGACACGGCCCGAACUCCUACGGGAGGCAGCAGUGGGGAAUAUUGGACAAUGGGGGCAACCCUGAUCCAGCCAUGCCGCGUGUGUGAAGAAGGCCCUCGGGUUGUAAAGCACUUUCAGCGAGGAAGAACGCCUAGCGGUUAAUACCCGCUAGGAAAGACAUCACUCGCAGAAGAAGCACCGGCUAACUCCGUGCCAGCAGCCGCGGUAAUACGGAGGGUGCAAGCGUUAAUCGGAAUUACUGGGCGUAAAGCGCGCGUAGGUGGCUUGAUAAGCCGGUUGUGAAAGCCCCGGGCUCAACCUGGGAACGGCAUCCGGAACUGUCAAGCUAGAGUGCAGGAGAGGAAGGUAGAAUUCCCGGUGUAGCGGUGAAAUGCGUAGAGAUCGGGAGGAAUACCAGUGGCGAAGGCGGCCUUCUGGACUGACACUGACACUGAGGUGCGAAAGCGUGGGUAGCAAACAGGAUUAGAUACCCUGUAGUCCACGCCGUAAACGAUGUCGACCAGCCGUUGGGUGCCUA